Molecule: ribosomal RNA, 618 nt
Filed under: uncultured bacterium
Lineage: Bacteria
Description: bacterial SSU rRNA
Rfam family: Bacterial small subunit ribosomal RNA
Source: RNAcentral
AGAGUUUGAUCCUGGCUCAGGAUGAACGCUGGCGGCGUGCCUAAUACAUGCAAGUCGAGCGAACAGACGAGAAGCUUGCUUCUCUGAUGUUAGCGGCGGACGGGUGAGUAACACGUGGGUAACCUACCUAUAAGACUGGGAUAACUCCGGGAAACCGGGGCUAAUACCGGAUAAUAUUUUGAACCGCAUGGUUCAAUAGUGAAAGACGGUUUCGGCUGUCACUUAUAGAUGGACCCGCGCCGUAUUAGCUAGUUGGUAAGGUAACGGCUUACCAAGGCGACGAUACGUAGCCGACCUGAGAGGGUGAUCGGCCACACUGGAACUGAGACACGGUCCAGACUCCUACGGGAGGCAGCAGUAGGGAAUCUUCCGCAAUGGGCGAAAGCCUGACGGAGCAACGCCGCGUGAGUAAUGAAGGUCUUCGGAUCGUAAAACUCUGUUGUUAGGGAAGAACAAAUUUGUUAGUAACUGAACAAGUCUUGACGGUACCUAACCAGAAAGCCACGGCUAACUACGUGCCAGCAGCCGCGGUAAUACGUAGGUGGCAAGCGUUAUCCGGAAUUAUUGGGUGUAAAGCGCGCGUAGGCGGUUUCUUAAGUCUGAUGUGAAAGCCCACGG